Molecule: ribosomal RNA, 253 nt
Filed under: uncultured bacterium
Lineage: Bacteria
Description: partial 16S ribosomal RNA
Rfam family: Bacterial small subunit ribosomal RNA
Source: RNAcentral
UACGGGGGGGGCAAGCGUUGUUCGGAAUUACUGGGCGUAAAGGGCUCGUAGGCGGCCAACUAAGUCAGACGUGAAAUCCCCAGGCUCAACCUGGGAACUGCGUCUGAUACUGGAUGGCUUGAAUCCGGGAGAGGGAUGCAGAAUUCCAGGUGUAGCGGUGAAAUGCGCAGAUAUCAGGAAGAACACCCGUGGCGAAGGCGGCUCUCUGGGACGGUACUGACGCUGAGACGCGAAAGCGUGGGGAGCGAACAGG